GUUGUAGUCCUACAUGUUGUCUACACACUGGAAUUGAUAGAUCACGUAAACGUUGCACGAUUGUCAAGUUAUAGAGGUCUAAAGUAGGCAUCACGAACUGUUCUUCACGAAGAACAGCUCUGACAGCUACUUUGAGGUACGUUUUCUCCCAGAUCUGAUGUUGUUUAGAGGUUAUGUUUGUUGAAUGUUGUAGUCUUGUAUUUUCUAUACAAGACCCAAUUUAUAGAUUGUCCAAAUUCGUUAAGAUAAGAGAGUUAUUCACGGUCAAAGUAGCUCACUCGGUUCUGCCUUAUGAAGAUCUGGGUAGGCUCAAGAACACCUAUAGCGACGGUUCUGUCACUAUAGGGGCCUUUAGCGACAGUUUUAAUUAUUUUAAUUUCUGAUUUUUCGAAAAUGAUUUAAAAAAUUAGAAAAAUUAGAUUUUAAUUAUUAAAAAUACCAAAUAAAUUAUGAAAAAUUAUUUUAAAGUCUGAAAAAUAGUUUUUAACUAUUUUGAGUAUAUUUCACAAAUAUUUAGUUUUUUUGGAAUAUAAAAGGUAUUUAUUUAUUUAAUUAUAAUAUUAAAUAAAU
This 570-nucleotide long non-coding RNA is filed under the name Panax ginseng (ginseng). Its description in RNAcentral is "long non-coding RNA (PGIN_LNC019006)". Lineage: Eukaryota; Viridiplantae; Streptophyta; Magnoliopsida; Apiales; Araliaceae. The record is from RNAcentral.